GCGGGUCUGAGAGGAUGAUCCGCCACACUGGGACUGAGACACGGCCCAGACUCCUACGGGAGGCAGCAGUGGGGAAUAUUGGACAAUGGGGGGAACCCUGAUCCAGCCAUGCCGCGUGUGUGAAGAAGGCCUUUUGGUUGUAAAGCACUUUAAGCGAGGAGGAGGCUCUUCUAGUUAAUACCUAGGAUGAGUGGACGUUACUCGCAGAAUAAGCACCGGCUAACUCUGUGCCAGCAGCCGCGGUAAUACAGAGGGUGCGAGCGUUAAUCGGAUUUACUGGGCGUAAAGCGUACGUAGGCGGCUUUUUAAGUCGGAUGUGAAAUCCCUGAGCUUAACUUAGGAAUUGCAUUCGAUACUGGGAAGCUAGA
RNAcentral lists this ribosomal RNA (368 nucleotides) under Acinetobacter chengduensis. RNAcentral describes it as "bacterial SSU rRNA". It matches the Rfam family "Bacterial small subunit ribosomal RNA", at positions 286 to 645 of the family's 1533-position model. Lineage: Bacteria; Pseudomonadati; Pseudomonadota; Gammaproteobacteria; Moraxellales; Moraxellaceae. The record is from RNAcentral.